RNAcentral lists this ribosomal RNA (1880 nucleotides) under Mediterraneibacter torques. RNAcentral describes it as "[Ruminococcus] torques 23S ribosomal RNA". It matches the Rfam family "Bacterial large subunit ribosomal RNA", at positions 1020 to 2925 of the family's 2925-position model. Lineage: Bacteria; Bacillati; Bacillota; Clostridia; Lachnospirales; Lachnospiraceae. The record is from RNAcentral.
AAAGAGCCCAGACCAACAGCUAAGGCCCCAAAAUGUGUGUUAAGUGGAAAAGGAUGUGGGAUUUCGAAGACAACUAGGAUGUUGGCUCAGAAGCAGCCAUUCAUUCAAAGAGUGCGUAAUAGCUCACUAGUCGAGAGGUCCUGCGCCGAAAAUGUCCGGGGCUAAAACACACUGCCGAAGCUUUGGAAUUGAAUUAAUUCAAUUGGUAGAGGAGCAUUCUUAAAGGGACGAAGCAGUACCGUAAGGAGCUGUGGACUUUUAAGAAGAGAGAAUGCCGGAAUGAGUAGCGAGAGGAAGGUGGGAAUCCUUCCGGCCGAAUAUCUAAGGUUUCCAGAGUAAAGCUGAUCUGCUCUGGGUAAGUCGGGGCCUAAGGCGAGGUCGAAAGACGUAGUCGAUGGAUAACAGGUUGAAAUUCCUGUACUAUCCUGUAACAGAACUGUGGGGACACAGGCAGAGAGCGUGAGCCGGGAAUGGAAAGACCGGUACAAGCGAGGUAGGAGAAGAGUUGGCAAAUCCGCUCUUUAAUCUGAAGACGUGAUGUGGACUGAAAAUAAGUAGGGAAGCACGUGAGCUGACUGUCAAGAAAAGCCGCUAUUGUUUGCAGGAUACCCGUACCGUAAACCGACACAGGUGGAUGAGGAGAGAAUCCUAAGGCCGACGGGAGAAGCAUUGUUAAGGAACUCGGCAAAAUGACUCCGUAACUUCGGGAGAAGGAGUGCCAGUAAGAUGGCCGCAGAGAAUUGGCCCAAGCAACUGUUUAGCAAAAACACAGGUCUAUGCAAAACCGAAAGGUGAGGUAUAUGGGCUGACGCCUGCCCGGUGCUGGAAGGUUAAGGGGAGAGGUUAGCGCAAGCGAAGCUUUGAACUUAAGCCCCAGUAAACGGCGGCCGUAACUAUAACGGUCCUAAGGUAGCGAAAUUCCUUGUCGGGUAAGUUCCGACCCGCACGAAAGGCGUAAUGAUUUGGGCACUGUCUCAACAAUGCACCCGGUGAAAUUGAAAUACCAGUGAAGAUGCUGGUUACCUGCGCCAGGACGGAAAGACCCCAUGGAGCUUUACUCCAGCUUGAUACUGGGAUUCGGUAUUGCAUGUACAGGAUAGGUGGGAGGCUAGGAAAUGGUAACGCCAGUUGCCAUGGAGCCGAUGUUGGGAUACCACCCUUGCAGUACUGGGUUUCUAACCAGCAGCCGUGAUCCGGCUGGGGGACAAUGUCAGGUGGGGAGUUUGACUGGGGCGGUCGCCUCCGAAAGGGUAUCGGAGGCGCUCAAAGGUUCCCUCAGAAUGGUUGGAAACCAUUCGAAGAGUGCAAAGGCAGAAGGGAGCUUGACUGCGACACCGACGGGUGGAGCAGGUACGAAAGUAGGACUUAGUGAUCCGGUGGUAUAAAGUGGGAUUGCCAUCGCUCAACGGAUAAAAGCUACCCUGGGGAUAACAGGCUUAUCACUCCCAAGAGUUCACAUCGACGGAGUGGUUUGGCACCUCGAUGUCGGCUCAUCGCAUCCUGGGGCUGAAGUAGGUCCCAAGGGUUGGGCUGUUCGCCCAUUAAAGCGGUACGCGAGCUGGGUUCAGAACGUCGUGAGACAGUUCGGUCCCUAUCCGGCGUGGGCGUAAGAUAUUUGAGAGGAGCUGUCCUUAGUACGAGAGGACCGGGAUGGACUGGCCGCUGGUGUAUCUGUUGUCUUACCAAAGGCAUAGCAGAGUAGCCAAGCCGGGAAGGGAUAAACGCUGAAGGCAUCUAAGCGUGAAGCCCCCCUCAAGAUGAGAUAUCUCAUAACGUCAAGUUAGUAAGACCCCUUGAAGACGACGAGGUAGAUAGGGCAGAGGUGGAAGUGUGGUAACACAUGGAGCUGACUGUUACUAAUAGGUCGAGGGCAUAACCAA